This 558-nucleotide ribosomal RNA is filed under the name Triticum aestivum (bread wheat). Its description in RNAcentral is "partial small subunit ribosomal RNA". The record is from RNAcentral. Lineage: Eukaryota; Viridiplantae; Streptophyta; Magnoliopsida; Poales; Poaceae.
AUGGCAUGUGCUAGCCAUGUCCUGGUCUUCCUGUUCAUCUCUCAGUUAGCCCUAGUCACAUACACUACUGCUCUUCUGUGUGACAGUUGUGUAGGGUUGUGUAAGAGUAGUUGUGAGAAAGAGCUCAAUCUGUCCUUGUACCUCCACCAAAUUGCUGCUGGGCCAAACCAUAACCAAGAACAGAUUGUCAGUCCCAGCUUUGCUAAUGGGUUUGGCACAACAGGCGUCAACGACUGGCCACUACUCGAUGCUCCUCAGCCAAAUGCAAACAUUAUUGCUCGCGCGAAAGGCCUGCAUAUCCAAGCUAGCCAAGAAGGUGGUGGCUGGUUUUCUCCAUUCAGCAUGGUGUUUCAGGAGCAGGACUCCAGGUUCAACAGGUCUACCCUACAAGUGAAUGGGAUGAUUGGCCCUGAAGCUACCGGUGAGUGGGCAAUCGUAGGCGGGACUGGAAAGCUAGCAAUGGCUCGUGGUAUCAUCAAGUACAAGUUUCCCCAGAUAGUGACGAGCGUUGAGAAUUAUAGACAACUUGAUAUUCAUGCAUUCUACACCCCACAAGCU